Long non-coding RNA from Gallus gallus (chicken), 3838 nucleotides. RefSeq lists it as uncharacterized. The record is from RefSeq and is a predicted model, not a curated record. The transcript is spliced from 4 exons. NCBI's taxonomy places the organism in Eukaryota, Metazoa, Chordata, Aves, Galliformes, Phasianidae.
GGGGGCGGGGAGGAGCCGAAUAGAAACGGCAGCGCGCGGGGGAGCGGUGUGGCUGCUGGCGGCGCGGUGAGGGUUUGGGCUUCCGCGCUGCUGGGCCCGAGUGUUCGUGGUGUGCUGGAGUCUGUCCCUUCUAUGCAAAGCGUGAGCUCUUGUGUAUCCCUGGCCUGAGACGAGCAGCUGUUAGUGCAAAGCUGUACCUGGUGACUGAUGUUCCAGGGUUAGCUGUGGGUUCUCCACACCAGUAGCAGUGGGAAGUAUAUUGCAAAAAAUGCACAGGUAGUUUGCACAAGUCGAAUAAGACUAGGAGAGAUGAUCAGCAUGGAUAACCUGCCCUUUCAAGAACUUAAUGGUAUAUGUGGAAAUACAUGUUUUGCACUGCAUAAUGUUCAUGCCACUAGCUGACUGUCUAGGAAGAUCCGUCCCUAGAGAGGCCACAGAGAUGCCCUCACUAGUGUGGACUUCAGUCUCAAUAAGAAACAAUUGGGUAAAUCAUCUCUGUAUUUUGAUGGCCUGCUGAUAAAAAAGGAUUUCUGUUUUUAAGUUAUAUGAGGGCAACUAUGGAGGUCCUGAAUUCUAAAAUAAUUAAGAAUUCAUUUUUGCAAUGAAAAGAUUGGUGAGUUUGGGGAUGAGUGUUUUAUGUGUGACUGGAAGAAUCGCAGAACUGGAGAGUGGUUGAGGUUGGAAGGGACCUGUGGAGUUUGUCUGGUCCAAUCUCCUUACUCUUGCUGGGUUCCUGAAAGCACAUUACCCAGGACUCUAUACAUACUGCUUUUAAGCAUCUCCCGGGAAAGAGUCCACAGCCUUUCUAGCCUGUUCAAGUGCUGAGUUACCCUCUCAGGGAAGAAAUUCUUUGUCAUAUUCGUUUGCAACUUCCUAUCCACAAACUUUCUGUUUGUGCCCAGUGCCUCUCAUCCUGUUUUUGAACCAGGGUGACAGGUUGUGAGCAUCCUGUUGGAGCGUUAGGAAUGUCUGCUGUUGCCUAAAGCUACCUUGCACAAAGUAGAACUGUACUUUUUUUUUUUUCUUUUUUUUAAUGCUCUGCGUAAGUAUUUUUCUUCUUCCAUCUUCUGUUUCUCCUGGUUUGGCAUUUGCCUGUGGUUACAACAAGGCUUGUGUCAUAGCUCCUGUUAGUUAACUUGUGUAUUCUUGGAACAGGAACCAGCAGGAGUUUUGGCUCUUGAUGAAGCUGUUGUUUAGUCUGUGAGAACGUUGCUUUGACUCACAAUGAAAUCAGGCAGAAAUGGUUCUUUGAGGCAAUGUGUCUCAUGGGCUGUGGACACAGACAUGAGUAAACAGAAAUACAACAGUGUAGCAGGUGUUGUAAUUUGAAAUAAUCCUGUUCUGUGUCUUAAAACCUGCAACACUGUACCUCUGGAAGAUGCAAGGAAAGGAAAAUCAAACCUGUCUUGGACCACUGGUGUUUGUAUUGUUUUCUGCUGUCUUUUUCUGUCAUCCUGCUCCUUGUGUCUUUGAUUGUGGAGUGAGAUUUCAUUGUGUUCUGCAUCUAUGAUUGUUUGCCUGUCCCUAAAAAUGUAUCUAGUCAGUGCAAAUCUCUGCUCAGCAAGGAUGCUCUGGAUGUAACUUAACAUUGCUUUUGAUUGGUCAUUCUGAAGUAGCAUGUGAGCCUUUACUUCCUCCAACUGGACCUUGAAAGAAGUACUCUUAGUAUUUUUAAUAAAUGUGAUCAUGUAAGAAAGGGAAUGAGUUCUAAGCUUGUUUCUUUUUCAGGCAUCGUUGGGUCAAUCACAUGUACUUUACUCUUACGAGAUCUCAGAGUUCUUCAGUGCCACACCUCCACAGUUCUGCAACACCUUCAGGGAUGGUGACCCCACCACCUCCCUGGGCAGCCUGUACCAAUGCAUUAAUGCUCUUUCUUAGAAGAAAUUCUUCCUAAUAUCCAACCUGAACCUCCCCUAAAGAAGGCCUGCACAUCUGCCAGACUCAUACCUCAGCACUCUUCUGCCCCAUUGCUUGUGCACCAGCACCUGCUUUGCAAAUGACCCCGUAUGAAACAAGCAUCAGUAUCAGAAAAAGAUUGUUAUUUUUCUGUUUAAGUGACUGUGAAAUGACGUUUCUAGCAGAAGCUGUUUGUUGUUUUGCCAUAAUGCUAAUGAACUGAAAUCUUGUAAUUAUGAUGCUAUAUUAGGACCUACUGUCAAACUGAUCUUUAUUCCUAGAAAAAUCUUAAGAACUUAGUGCAGGUGUGUCCCACAUAGCUUGUGGGAAGAGAAAGGCACCUAGGGUUUCUUGGCAGGCAAAGAUGUGCACACUCUGUACUUGCCUGUGGAAAAUCUACAAAGUUUUCUGUUAUUUAGAUGUUUAGGAGGCUAUCUUUAUUGGCACAGUAUCGGACACUUGCCAUCGAGUGUUUUUUCUCCUUGCUAAGUUGAUGCUAGUAUAUAUUUGAUCUUUACCAAUAACUGGGGGCCCUGUGCUGCAGACUUCAUGCAGCAUGGUGGGCUUCAGGGGGAUGAAGAGAUUUUCAGUUUGCUGAGUUGGCAGUGAGACCUGAGGAGGGCAAUUCAAAGCUGAAAUGGAAUUUAUUCUUGUAAACUGGUUGUCUGGUGUUCUUGUCAGGGACAGAUUUCCCUCCCUACGUAUGGGGAGGGGCAAUGGCUUGUAUGAGUUUCAGCAGCAUGGGGAUGUCUGGGAGCUUUCAUUUGAGAUGUGCUUUCGUCAGGUUGGAAGCUCUCCUUACAGCCAGCAGUGUGCUGUGGAAGGGAAGCAAGGCAAAGAAGGGAGCAUUUCUUGAAGACAGGGUCAGUUUUAUUUGCUGUGGGUGCAGUGUGCACACAUCUCAAUUCUGCCUCCUGUUUACAGAUCUUUUGCGCUUGCUGAUGAAGGAGGUCUUAGAAAAACAGCGUUUGACUUUGGUGGCAGGAGGGUGGGAUGCGAACAUUCUUCUUCUUACUAGAAGUGAAGUGUUUGUCUCCUGCAGUGUCCCUACAGCCUCUUCUUGUCUUUUGAGCAUGCAUUUUGCCCCUUCUUUAGAAGCCCAGGUGUAAAGACAAGUUGCAGUUUGUGGUGGUUGCUUUCUUUUCCUCUUUUUUUUUUUUUUUUUCCUUUUAACUGUUGAGUAUAGAAGUGGACAUGAGAAUGCUGAGUGGGUAUGGGUAGGUAGAGGGACCCAUGUCUCCACCCAGAGUCCCUUAAAGCUUCUUGUGAUUGCCAUGAAGUCCCACUAACCCCUUCUGUUGCAAAAUGAGCACUGCUCUAAUUUUAUUGCAAGCUUGGAUUUUUCGUAAGUCCUGAGCUGGGUGUGAUCAACAUUUUGCUGCAAGAAAAGAGCUAGGUGUCAGGGGGAUUAAAUGUGUAUGGGUUGCCUUUAAGUCAUAGCUCACAGGGCUUUUCUGCCUAAUUGGUAGGGUGCUACUUGAUAUUCAGACUGCUUCUGUUUUCCAAUGAAAAAAUGAUGAGAUAAGCUUCCUCCAUAGAACUUCUAUGCAUUUCCUUAGUGUGUGUUUAUUUGGCUUUGCAGAUUGUGUGGCCUUUUCCUCUGCAGCCGUUGCAUUAUCUUGGGACCUGACAUGUCAGUUCGAGCCAAUGCAAGGCAAGUGGCUCAAUGGAUUCAUACCUGAAGAUCUGGAGUAUGAGACCUCAGAUGAGAGCCUAUUGCCUUGUGGGCCACAAAGAUGCAGUGAUGUGUGUUCAGUUUUCCCCUUCUGGCCACCUUGUAGCUGCGGGCUCCAGAGACAAAACAAUCUGCUUAUGGGUUCCAAGUGUGUUUGCAAAUCAAUGUGAGUUUCAUCCCAGUGGUACAUACAUUGCUGCAGCUGGUACAGAUAAGACUGUGAAGAUGUGGGAUGUUAGGAUGAACAGACUUCUCCUCCAUUAUCAA